Molecule: unclassified non-coding RNA, 298 nt
Filed under: fungal sp.
Lineage: Eukaryota; Fungi
Description: partial internal transcribed spacer region
Rfam family: Eukaryotic small subunit ribosomal RNA (bases 1-46)
Source: RNAcentral
AAGUCGUAACAAGGUUUCCGUAGGUGAACCUGCGGAAGGAUCAUUACCAUACCUUCACACAACAAGCCCUGCGCUUUCGAGAGAAUUGCAGGCACAAACUACGAGGGAGCGCCGCGCGGUUCCGCGCGGCGUGAGGGAGUCGGCCAUGCUGACAUGAGUGGCCAGCUCUAGCGCCGUUCCCCCAUUGAUGGCGACAUUAGUGGGGACCUCUGAGAACGGACUCGGUGCUUUCACCGAACCCUGUGCUUGAAAAGGAACCAUAAUGCAGUACAACUGCAAACGGUGGAUCACUCGGCUC